Molecule: small RNA, 638 nt
Filed under: Spisula solidissima (Atlantic surf clam)
Lineage: Eukaryota; Metazoa; Mollusca; Bivalvia; Venerida; Mactridae
Description: cnRNA185
Source: RNAcentral
AGACUAAUGUACGGGACUUUUUAGAAAAUCUGGUUAACCUUAAGUUCAUGGAAGACUAUGUCAUGAUCGGCGUUUGCCAAACUGGGGAGGGUUUUAACAGAUUGUACAAGUGAGGGGAGGUUUGUCAAAAAGAGGUCAAGUAUGUUGGAAUUUCUAGUUGGAGUUUUAACCAUUUGCUCCAAGUUCAGGUUAACCAGAUUUUCUAAAAAGUCUUCGUACAUUAGUUUGAAUUUGCAGUUAGUCUUGAGUGAUUCAUUUGUCCAGUCUAUAUCAGGUAGGUUAAAGUCACCCAAGAGCCAAAUAAUGCUGUUUUUGGGGAUCUUUUUAAUAGAUGACCAUAAUUACUUUCAUGAUUCAGUGUCGUCUUCAUGGGGCUUGUACUAGGAUCCUAUGAAGAUGGAGCGAACUCCGGGAUGGUGACCUUGGUCCAGCAUAAGUUUCAGUUCGCUUUCAGGUCUUGUUGUUCUUGGCUAAGUAGGGUUUUGGUUACGGCCUAUUAGCACAACUACCAACCUUGGAGUGUGUGCGGUCAUCACAAUGGCAUUAUAAUUAGAGAGUCCGGGAAUUUUCUUAGGUAUUGGCUCAGUUUGAGCCAAGUCUCAGUGCACCUUUACAUCAGGUUUGUUUGUUUAUUACCU